This 528-nucleotide ribosomal RNA is filed under the name uncultured bacterium. RNAcentral's name for it is "partial 16S ribosomal RNA". It matches the Rfam family "Bacterial small subunit ribosomal RNA", at positions 355 to 874 of the family's 1533-position model. The record is from RNAcentral.
UGGGGAAUUUUGGACAAUGGGCGAAAGCCUGAUCCAGCAAUGCCGCGUGUGUGAAGAAGGCCUUCGGGUUGUAAAGCACUUUUGUCCGGAAAGAAAUCCUUGGCUCUAAUACAGUCGGGGGAUGACGGUACCGGAAGAAUAAGCACCGGCUAACUACGUGCCAGCAGCCGCGGUAAUACGUAGGGUGCAAGCGUUAAUCGGAAUUACUGGGCGUAAAGCGUGCGCAGGCGGUUUGCUAAGACCGAUGUGAAAUCCCCGGGCUCAACCUGGGAACUGCAUUGGUGACUGGCAGGCUAGAGUAUGGCAGAGGGGGGUAGAAUUUCACGUNUAGCAGUGAAAUGCGUAGAGAUGUGGAGGAACACCGAUGGCGAAGGCAGCCCCCUGGGCCAAUACUGACGCUCAUGCACGAAAGCGUGGGGGAGCAAACAGGAUUAGAUACCCUGGUAGUCCACGCCCUAAAACGAUGUCAACUAGUUGUUGGGGAUUCAUUUCCUUAGUAACGUAGCUAACGCGUGAAGUUGACCGCCU